GAUUGACUGAAUUAUUUUUGGACGCGGGUUCGACUCCCGCCGUCUCCACCA
Molecule: transfer-messenger RNA, 51 nt
Filed under: Taylorella equigenitalis ATCC 35865
Lineage: Bacteria; Pseudomonadati; Pseudomonadota; Betaproteobacteria; Burkholderiales; Alcaligenaceae
Also listed under: 1 other name
Description: transfer-messenger RNA Taylo_equig_MCE9
Rfam family: transfer-messenger RNA
About the family: Bacterial tmRNA, also known as 10Sa RNA or SsrA, is named for its dual tRNA and mRNA-like properties.
Source: RNAcentral